ACAGCAACAUGGAGCAAAUGGGUCAGUGCGUCUGGCUGUUAACUGGAAGGUUGGUGGUUCAAGCCCACCCAUGGAUGGCUGUA
This is a non-coding RNA of Podarcis lilfordi (Lilford's wall lizard), 83 nucleotides long. NCBI's taxonomy places the organism in Eukaryota, Metazoa, Chordata, Lepidosauria, Squamata, Lacertidae. The record is from the annotation of a GenBank genome assembly.